UCUAGAGGCUUCGGCAAUGGGGGCAACCCUGACCGAGCGACGCCGCGUGUGGGAUUGAAGGCCUUCGGGUCGUAAACCACUGUCAUUGGGGAAGAAUGCCCGGAUGGUGAAUCCGGGAGGGACGGUACCCAAGGAGGAAGCCCCGGCUAACUCCGUGCCAGCAGCCGCGGUAAUACGGAGGGGGCAAGCGUUGUUCGGAUUUACUGGGCGUAAAGGGUGUGUAGGCGGCCGCGCCAGUCUGGUGUGAAAUCUUCACCGCUUAACGGGAAGAGGGCACUGGAUACUGCGCGGCUCGAGUAUGGUAGAGGCAAGCGGAAUUCCUGGUGUAGCGGUGGAAUGUGUAGAGAUCAGGAAGAACACCGGUGGCGAAGGCGGCUUGCUGGGCCAUUACUGACGCUGAGACACGAGAGCGUGGGGAGCAAACGGG
RNAcentral lists this ribosomal RNA (427 nucleotides) under uncultured prokaryote. Its description in RNAcentral is "bacterial SSU rRNA". It matches the Rfam family "Bacterial small subunit ribosomal RNA", at positions 355 to 776 of the family's 1533-position model. The record is from RNAcentral. RNAcentral also lists the same sequence under 1 other name.